This 72-nucleotide transfer RNA is filed under the name Clostridium cadaveris. It matches the Rfam family "tRNA". From Rfam's summary of the family: Transfer RNA (tRNA) molecules are approximately 80 nucleotides in length. Their secondary structure includes four short double-helical elements and three loops (D, anti-codon, and T loops). Further hydrogen bonds mediate the characteristic L-shaped molecular structure. tRNAs have two regions of fundamental functional importance: the anti-codon, which is responsible for specific mRNA codon recognition, and the 3' end, to which the tRNAs corresponding amino acid is attached (by aminoacyl-tRNA synthetases). tRNAs cope with the degeneracy of the genetic code in two manners: having more than one tRNA (with a specific anti-codon) for a particular amino acid; and 'wobble' base-pairing, i.e. permitting non-standard base-pairing at the 3rd anti-codon position. Lineage: Bacteria; Bacillati; Bacillota; Clostridia; Eubacteriales; Clostridiaceae. The record is from Rfam by way of RNAcentral.
GCUCUCAUAGUUCAAUGGAUAGAACAGCCCCCUCCUAAGGGGCAGAUGUAGGUUCGAUUCCUACUGGGAGUA